UGUUGGCCCUCCCUCUGCCGUUAUGAUUAUGAAGCUCUGCGCGGCAGCCCGCCGCUUCCUAUCUGGAUUUCUGUCGUACGUUAGUUGGCAGCAUCUUUAUCACAGACUUUCCAGAAAUCUGUCGCAGACUUGUUAAGCCAUCAAAAAACCUUAUUUAGUUCUAGCUCUAGGCUAUGGGACUAUGAGAGGACUCCGAGACGGUGUCCAAGUGAGAUGGCUGGCGAGGUUGUUCGAGGUCAUUUCAUGAUGAGGAUGGACCAGACUUUAAGACAUUCUGAGCUCCAUGAAUGUCAUGAGACACUCCAGGAGACGGUGGUUGCAAUGCAUUAUCAACACCCCGCAACCCCAACCCUCCAAUGGAACCCAGAACCCUCCGGAGUUCCUCAGGACCUGUCGGCAUGAGUGAGGCGAACACAUCGUGCGUUGGAGGAAGAGUUGCAGUGACGACUUGGACCACAGGCCAGAAGCCUGAAAUAGAUUCUUUGAGAAUCUUAAAAGUCAAACAACUGGGCCUUGCGGGGAAGACUGAUGACGUGAGAAAAAAAGGAAAAAUUUGAUGGGCAGACGUGAGCGGCAGUGGUGCUGGUGGCGCAGGAUGUCCUGGAGGAGGACGACCUCGACUACCUCAAAGGAGCUGAUUCUAGCCUUGUGCCUGAUGGGGAAACAAGUGCACAUUUGUUGUGCUCUGUCUGAGAUGGAGAAGUGUGCGCCUUGCUGGCGUACUUCAAUUGAUGCCAGCAAGCCCAGCCAGCGAGUGACCGAUAGUGGCCGGUUC
Molecule: long non-coding RNA, 775 nt
Organism: Engraulis encrasicolus (European anchovy)
Lineage: Eukaryota; Metazoa; Chordata; Actinopteri; Clupeiformes; Engraulidae
Exons: 5
Source: RefSeq, a predicted model, not a curated record